Long non-coding RNA from Equus caballus (horse), 1787 nucleotides. The record is from Ensembl. Lineage: Eukaryota; Metazoa; Chordata; Mammalia; Perissodactyla; Equidae.
AUGUUGCCACCUGAGUCCUUUAUGAAGCAAGAGUCCCUCAAUAAGGAAAAUCUGGCUUCCAGCAGCCCAAGUAGCUUGAUUACCUUAUAUGGACUGACUCGAGACUAGCCAAUCAACUAAGAUGAGCCCAACUGCAGCUGAGUAGCCCCUAACGCCUUCAAUUUUGCCUCACAACUUGGAUUGAGGAGAAAGAUUUGAGAGUCUUGGCUUCUGUCUCUUUGCCGGUAGACCUUGUAAUAAAGCCUUUUCUUUUCUCAAAAGCUGGUGCCAUCGUAUUGGCUUCCGUGUACGUCAGAUAGUGAACCCUUGCCCAGUAAGUUUAGCGAUGAGCUCCCUGAUAAAAUUAAAGGUAUUCGGGUUAUUUUGGUUGACUGGAAAUAUUUUGAAAGCAUCUCCCAGUUUUGUAUAAACGCAGUCUAAGAAUCCAAUGAAGCCUCUAAGCUUUUCUCUCAAAUAUGAAUCACAAGGUUGGAUCCCUAAACGGUCCAAGUAUCCCACUGUGGAAGAUUUCUCGAUGCCAGAGUCAACUAUAAGGCACAGAACCUUGCCUAUGGAAAUCUGUUGUAUCUGCCACAAGGAUUGGAGCUUCUGAGAGAACAAAUUCAGGCCUGGUUUUCUAAUUAUGACAACAUGCAGAGGGAAAACAUCUGUGCUGUCAGAGCUGAACAGCCGCAGCGGCUCUUGAUCUGUAUCCUCUGCCCUCUUUCUUGCUGGAGCUCUGGCUCCCUAGCAACUACCUCUAGUGAUUUCUCAGUGAUCAAGUCACGUUGCAUGGAACCCUGUCCAUGAUGCCAACUGGCAAAGAGAGAUUACCACUGACCAACUAAUCAGACUAGAUGUCUACACCCUGAGCCACCAUGUUUUACCAUGUCACUAAUGAGUCUGUGAAUAGGCUAAAACUGUCCCAGUUCUUCAAAGCUCCAUAUUUUCAAGACAUGGUGAAAGAUCACUGAGAUGACUGACUGGUUGUAUUGAUGCUAUGGGUAGAGGGAGUGGAACAUUCAGGAAAAGGAAGAGCAAGCUUGAAGUCCAUGAUGCCGGAAGGUGUUUGGUGUCCUUGAAAACCGGAUAGAAGGACUUGUGGCACAUGUUCAGAAGUUUAAGAUUUAAUUCCAAGACUAAUGGGAUGCCAGCCUCUAUUGACAGGCAUUCAGUAUAUGACAUAGCUUUAAGUCACCUGUCUAUUCUGUUUUUAUCCUGUAAAAGCUCUUCCAGUUGUCAAUGAUCUUUUAAAAAUGUGACAUCUAAAUCUGAAAGCUGUGCUCCAGUUCUCCUUCUGGACAUAACAGAACAGAAUGUGAUUCUCACCAUCUUGCACUUACAGUGUCAGAACUAUGAGAGAAAUCUUUUUAUAUUUAAUUUCUUCUAGUUUGCCAUACCAGACACUUGAGAUCAUUUUGGAUUCUGAUUCUUUUAUCCCUCACAACCAAAACAGUCAGUGUCCCCCAUCAGCUUCCCACCACCUGCUGGCAUCUUUUCAUAGGUUAAAGUCAUUGAUUAAAAAAAAUUAAGUUGAAGGACCAGGUCUUACAAUGUCAUUUAAAAGUUUUUUGUGUGCUAACAUUGAUCAAUAGUUCAAUAUUGUUGGGGGCAAGACCAUUCAAAAAGUUGUAAAUUAAUCAAUUUACACUGCAACGAAGUCAUUUAUCUUCAUCUUUUUUUCAAAGACAUCAUAAGGAAACAUCAUAGAGCUUACCAUAUUGCAUAACCAUAUUAUUUAUUUUCCUGUCCUUUCCACUGAAAUGUGAGUCUAAUAGAAACUUUAAAAAGUUUACGAUGUAAUUCAU